RNAcentral lists this ribosomal RNA (394 nucleotides) under uncultured bacterium. RNAcentral describes it as "bacterial SSU rRNA". It matches the Rfam family "Bacterial small subunit ribosomal RNA", at positions 30 to 429 of the family's 1533-position model. The record is from RNAcentral.
AUUGAACGCUGGCGGCAUGCCUUACACAUGCAAGUCGAACGGCAGCGGGCCUUCGGGUGCCGGCGAGUGGCGAACGGGUGAGUAAUGCAUCGGAACGUGCCAUUGAGUGGGGGAUAACGUAGCGAAAAGUUGCGCUAAUACCGCAUAUUCUGUGAGCAGGAAAGCAGGGGACCGCAAGGCCUUGCGCUCUUUGAGCGGCCGAUGUCAGAUUAGCUAGUUGGUGAGGUAAAGGCUUACCAAGGCGACGAUCUGUAGCGGGUCUGAGAGGAUGAUCCGCCACACUGGAACUGAGACACGGUCCAGACUCCUACGGGAGGCAGCAGUGGGAAUUUUGGACAAUGGGGGCAACCCUGAUCCAGCCAUGCCGCGUGAGUGAAGAAGGCCUGGUUGUAAG